UUUUCUUAAAAUUUUUAACAUAAAUUAAAUAUUAUUAAAAUUUAUAUAUUUUAAUAUAUAAUAUUAUAAAAUUAAUGUAAUUUAAAUAAAAUAAUAUAAAAUUAUUAUUGUCAAAAAUUUGUGCCAGCAGUCGCGGUAAUACAAAAAAUAAUGAAAAUAUUAUUUUAUAUAUUUUAUAUGAUAUUAUUUAAUUUUAUUGAUAAAUUUUUGAGUGAAAUUAAAAUUUAUUUUAUGAUUAUCUAUAUAAGGUUUAUGAUUUGUAAAAAAUUAGUAUUAAACUAGGAUUAGAUACCCUAUUAUAUAAUUGAUAUUUAUUAUAAGUAUUAUUAUAAUUUUAAAUUUAAAGAAUAUGGCAGUAUUUUAAUCAAUUUAGAGGAAUUUGUUUAUUGAUUGAUAAUACACGAUUAAUUUUACUUAAAUUUUAUUUGUAUAUCAUUGUUUAAAUUAUUUUUAUUUAAUAUAAAUGAUUAAUUAUUAAAUUUAAUAUGAAUUCAAAUCAAGAUACAGUUAUAUUUAAGAAUAUUAUGAAUUACAUUUAAUUUAUUAAUUGAAUUAAUUUUUUUAUAAAUUUUAUGAAAUUGGAUUUAAUAGUAAUUUAUUAAAUUUAUUAUAAAUGAUUAAAGUUUUAAAAUAUGUACAUAUUGCCCGUCAUUCUUAUUAUUUUUUUUAAAAUUGUAUUUUUAAAAUUAAUUAAGACAAGUCGUAACAAAGUAAAAUUAUUGGAAAAUGAUUUUAGA
Molecule: non-coding RNA, 737 nt
Filed under: Paduniella communis
Lineage: Eukaryota; Metazoa; Arthropoda; Insecta; Trichoptera; Psychomyiidae
Source: RNAcentral